AACUCUGUCCUAAAUCUCUCUACAUUUUUUUGAUUUUUUUUUCGUUUUA
RNAcentral lists this small RNA (49 nucleotides) under Arabidopsis thaliana (thale cress). RNAcentral describes it as "ATSL151840". The record is from RNAcentral. Lineage: Eukaryota; Viridiplantae; Streptophyta; Magnoliopsida; Brassicales; Brassicaceae.